Molecule: non-coding RNA, 45 nt
Filed under: Schistosoma margrebowiei
Lineage: Eukaryota; Metazoa; Platyhelminthes; Trematoda; Strigeidida; Schistosomatidae
Source: RNAcentral
AUCUAAAUAACGAGUCCUAAACAGAAUGAAACGCGCGUUCUAGAU